This 500-nucleotide ribosomal RNA is filed under the name uncultured bacterium. Its description in RNAcentral is "bacterial SSU rRNA". It matches the Rfam family "Bacterial small subunit ribosomal RNA", at positions 29 to 511 of the family's 1533-position model. The record is from RNAcentral.
AGUGAACGCUGGCGGCGUGCUUAACACAUGCAAGUCGAACGGAUAAAUAAGCUUGCUUAUUUUGUUAGUGGCGCACGGGUGAGUAAUGUAUAGCUAACCUGCCCUUUAGUGGGGGACAACAGUUGGAAACGACUGCUAAUACCCUAUACUCCUUCUUGAUCGCAUGAUUGAGAAAGGAAAGACGGCCUUUGUGCUGUCGCUUAUGGAUGGACCCGCGGCGUAUUAGUUAGUUGGUGAGGUAACGGCUCACCAAGACGAUGAUACGUAGCCGACCUGAGAGGGUGAUCGGCCACAUUGGGACUGAGACACGGCCCAAACUCCUACGGGAGGCAGCAGUAGGGAAUCUUCCGCAAUGGACGAAAGUCUGACGGAGCAACGCCGCGUGAGUGAAGAAGGUUUUCGGAUCGUAAAACUCUGUUGUCAGAGAAGAACAAGUUGGAGAGUAACUGCUCCAGCCUUGACGGUAUCUGACCAGAAAGCCACGGCUAACUACGUGCCAG